This 764-nucleotide long non-coding RNA is filed under the name Gossypium barbadense (sea-island cotton). RNAcentral's name for it is "long non-coding RNA (GBAR_LNC008746)". The record is from RNAcentral. Lineage: Eukaryota; Viridiplantae; Streptophyta; Magnoliopsida; Malvales; Malvaceae.
UGGUACUGACUAAUGACCUUAGCUUUUGUUUAUCAAGAGAAAUGAAGAAUAGAGAAGUGGUCAUAACAAGUCAAUAGGGUGCUGGGUAAGGUUUAUUCUUUGCACUUGCUUUUCAAUUUUAAUCCUUAAAUUUGAUUUCAUCUAUUGAAUCUAAAUCUAGAUUGACUUGAAACUAAAUUAAUUUUAAUUUAAAACCAACCCAAACAUGAAAUAAUCCGAACUAGAAUUCUUUGAACAAGUCAUUCAAAAAGACUUGAACUUUCGAAAAAUCCUAACCUUAAAUUUAAAUAACUUAAAUAAAAAACAACCCAAACCCAAAAUUGACCUAAACUUGAGAUAGGUUCAAAACUGAAAUCACCCAAAAUCUUUACAACCCAACUUAAUUCUUUCUAAAUUGACUUAAUCGGAGAUCAAAUCCAACCGUCCAAUUGAGAGGUAUGUUUUGCAGACUAUAUAUAGAACUGCUCGAUUCUUAAUUUGUGUAUUGAACGGUUUUCAGUGGGUUCAUUGGCCCAAACAAAAAAUAUUGAAUACUGUGUCUUUAUAUAGGAAUUAUAACCCAAAUGUUUGCAGAUGCACAUCUCCAUGGCUCUCCUUGGGCUCUCAAAGCCUUGAAUAAGAUGGGAUGCAGUAGGAGAUGGGAAUCGGGAGUCCAAGUCAAUUGAGUUGGUUGAACUUGGCCCAAACUCAAUGUGUAUAUCAAAAUUACCAAGCUGCACACAUUGAGUUCAUUAAACUUCUCAAAUAAUCAUUUUCACUGCUUC